This 116-nucleotide ribosomal RNA is filed under the name Ornithinibacillus massiliensis. Lineage: Bacteria; Bacillati; Bacillota; Bacilli; Caryophanales; Bacillaceae. RNAcentral also lists the same sequence under 2 other names. The record is from RNAcentral.
UCUGGUAAUGAUGGCGAGAAGGUCACACCUGUUUCCAUACCGAACACAGAAGUUAAGCUUCUCAGCGCCGAUGGUAAUUGGGGCAUUGCCCUUGUGAGAGUAGGACGUUGCCAGGC